GAUGAACGCUGGCUACAGGCUUAACACAUGCAAGUCGAGGGGAAACGACGGGGAAGCUUGCUUCCUUGGGCGUCGACCGGCGCACGGGUGAGUAACGCGUAUCCAACCUGCCUCUGACUGAGGGAUAACCCGUCGAAAGUCGGCCUAAUACCUCAUGGCAUCGUCUGCGGGCAUCCAACGACGAUUAAAGAUUUCAUCGGUCAGGGAUGGGGAUGCGUCUGAUUAGCUUGUUGGCGGGGUAACGGCCCACCAAGGCUACGAUCAGUAGGGGUUCUGAGAGGAAGGUCCCCCACAUUGGAACUGAGACACGGUCCAAACUCCUACGGGAGGCAGCAGUGAGGAAUAUUGGUCAAUGGGCGAGAGCCUGAACCAGCCAAGUAGCGUGCAGGAUGACGGCCCUAUGGGUUGUAAACUGCUUUUAUGCGGGGAUAAAGUGAGGGACGUGUCCUUCAUUGCAGGUACCGCAUGAAUAAGGACCGGCUAAUUCCGUGCCAGCAGCCGCGGUAAUACGGAAGGUCCUGGCGUUAUCCGGAUUUAUUGGGUUUAAAGGGAGCGUAGGCCGUGGAUUAAGCGUGUUGUGAAAUGCAGGUGCUCAACGUCUGCACUGCAGCGCGAACUGGUCCACUUGAGUGUGCGCAACGCAGGCGGAAUUCGUCGUGUAGCGGUGAAAUGCUUAGAUAUGACGAAGAACUCCGAUUGCGAAGGCAGCCUGCGGGAGCACAACUGACGCUGAAGCUCGAAAGUGCGGGUAUCGAACAGG
RNAcentral lists this ribosomal RNA (760 nucleotides) under uncultured Prevotella sp. RNAcentral's name for it is "bacterial SSU rRNA". It matches the Rfam family "Bacterial small subunit ribosomal RNA", at positions 28 to 776 of the family's 1533-position model. Lineage: Bacteria; Pseudomonadati; Bacteroidota; Bacteroidia; Bacteroidales; Prevotellaceae. The record is from RNAcentral.